GACAGAGGGUGCUAGCGUUGUUCGGAAUGACUGGGCGUAAAGGGCGCGUAGGCUGUUGAUCAAGUUAGAUGUGAAAGCCCCGGGCUUAACCUGGGAACUGCAUUUAAUACUGGUUGACUGGAGAGCGAGAGAGGAAAGCGGAAUUCCUAGUGUAGAAGUGAAAUCUGUAGAUAUUAGGAGGAACACCAGAGGCGAAGGCGGCUUUCUGGCUCGCAACUGACGCUGAGGCGCGAAAGCGUGGGGAGCAAACAGG
This 253-nucleotide ribosomal RNA is filed under the name uncultured bacterium. Its description in RNAcentral is "partial 16S ribosomal RNA". It matches the Rfam family "Bacterial small subunit ribosomal RNA", at positions 524 to 776 of the family's 1533-position model. The record is from RNAcentral.